UUGGACUCCAUACAUUGGAGUUUGAUCAGCUCUUACAGAGACAGUGUAGGCUUCCCACCCUGUCUCAAAAACUGAAGCUAAACAAAGAAUUCCCACCUCCUGCAUAACAUAUUUGACACCCUGCACGUUCCACAGGUUUGAAGCAAAACAUCACUGUCAACCAACUGUAGACAUAGCAGUUUCUCAGGAAAGACUGUGCAUGAAUGUUACUGAUUGUCUGUUAGUCUUGUCUAGGUCUGUACAGCCCACUAAACUAGAAUAUACUAAUAUCUUUAAAGUGCCCAAGGUGCCCAAGAAAGCCGCUCUGGAAGAGCCCGUGCCUGUAGCUGCUUCAAAAAAGCCAGAACCAGCACCAGCCCAAGCGCCUGAAGUGCCCAGGAAAACUACUCGAGAAGAAAAAGUACCUGUGGUCACUGCCAAAGCACCCGAGCCUCCAGCAGCCAGAGGUACCUGACUUGGUGGAUAACUUGACAGAGAAGAUGCUUAAUCCGCUUCUCUUGAGCGUUGUCCUGCCCUCUCUUGGCCUGUCUUUGUUUCAAAUCUGAGACUCUUGAAGUUGUGAAUGUUGGGUAAACUGUGCUGCAGCAUGUGAGGUUUUGGUCUUGCUUUUGUGGUGUUUAGUGUUUGCAUUGCCCUCUUGUUUGUUCCUGUCUGGCCAGUCUUUUCAUCACUAUAAAUUGAACCCCACUAAUAUCUUUGAAGUGCCUGUGAUGCCAGAGGCAGAGGUCCUGGAAGAGGAAGAGGAGGAAGAAGCACUGGAAGAGGCAGUACCAGUGGCAGAGCCUGAAGAGCCGGAAGCUGCGCCAGCUGAAGUGCCUGAGGUGGUUGAGGAGGAGGAGCCAAAAGAAGAGGUUCCAGUGGUUGUUCCCAAGAAGCCUGAGACGGUGACCAAGAAGCCUGUG
This is a non-coding RNA of Meleagris gallopavo (turkey), 902 nucleotides long. Lineage: Eukaryota; Metazoa; Chordata; Aves; Galliformes; Phasianidae. The record is from RefSeq and is a predicted model, not a curated record.